CCAACAUGGGCAUCCAGCAAGGUGGCUCUUGCCUGGCUCUGCCCAAGUGGCAUAUGGGAGCGCAGCUCUACUAGGGGCUAUGACGUAGAGUCCCAUUCCACAAUGUUGGACAGAAAGUUUUCCCCCUGUCUGAAAAGGCUGUUGGUGGAGGCGUCCUGUAUAUUCCUACAACUUCUCAGUAUUCAUGGUUACUGAGAAGACAAACCAUGCAGGACACAUGU
Molecule: small nucleolar RNA, 221 nt
Organism: Varanus komodoensis (Komodo dragon)
Lineage: Eukaryota; Metazoa; Chordata; Lepidosauria; Squamata; Varanidae
Gene: SNORA73
Rfam family: Small nucleolar RNA SNORA73 family
About the family: U17 (SNORA73A and SNORA73B) also known as E1 belongs to the H/ACA class of small nucleolar RNAs (snoRNAs).
Source: Ensembl